This is a long non-coding RNA of Aedes albopictus (Asian tiger mosquito), 307 nucleotides long. RefSeq lists it as uncharacterized. The transcript has 2 exons. The record is from RefSeq and is a predicted model, not a curated record. NCBI's taxonomy places the organism in Eukaryota, Metazoa, Arthropoda, Insecta, Diptera, Culicidae.
UUUAUGCAGGAAUUUUACACACACUCAAAACCAAAACAAACCGCACAGAUACACAGACAAUAGAUAACCAGACUAACCUGAAUGACAAUGACACACAAUAGCUUAUUUGACAUAACUUGCAUACAACAAUUAAUGUCCUCCAUAACUUUCAUAGAAUGACUACAAAAUGACCGUUUAAAUGUACAUAGUUUUACGACGAAGAAAGAUAGUGUAGUCCAGUGUCCAGUUUUCUUCCCGUUUCGUGUAGUAAAUCCAAUAGAAAUUGAUGAACCAGAUUAUGUUGACAAGUUUUCACGCAAAGAUUGAA